Molecule: ribosomal RNA, 431 nt
Filed under: uncultured bacterium
Lineage: Bacteria
Description: partial 16S ribosomal RNA
Rfam family: Bacterial small subunit ribosomal RNA
Source: RNAcentral
CCUACGGGGGGCAGCAGUAGGGAAUAUUGGGCAAUGGCCGAGAGGCUGACCCAGCCAUGCCGCGUGCAGGAUGAAGGUUUCUGAGUCGUAAACUGCUUUUGCGGAAAAGCCGGUACCUGGUGAAUAAGCACCGGCUAACUCCGUGCCAGCAGCCGCGGUAAUACGGAGGGUGCAAGCGUUGUCCGGAUUUAUUGGGUUUAAAGGGUGCGUAGGCGGCUGAUUAAGUCUGGGGUGAAAGCCCGUUGCUCAACAACGGAACUGCCCUGGAAACUGGUUAGCUUGAGUACAGACGAGGGUGGCGGAAUGGAUGCUGUAGCGGUGAAAUGCAUAGAUAGCAUCCAGAACCCCGAUUGCGAAGGCAGCUGCCUAGCUUAACUGACGCUGAGGCACGAAAGCGUGGGGAGCGAACAGGAUUAGAUACCCUUGUAGUC